UGGGUUGUACGUUGUUGGGUGCUAAUCACUCUCUCAAUCCAAAACCCAGUCAAGUCUGCCUCUCUCUCUCAAACGACCUCCGCAUGCGUCUCCAAUACUGCUCCUCUCUCUCAAUCAAAACUUUCUCCUCUUUUUAGUCUGGGUUGUUACAAAAUCCGACAACAUUAGAAUUACGUAUACGUGGUGCCUGAGUUUCUUCGACGACGAUAAUCAAAUAACUGCCUGGUUCUUUUCUCAAACAAUCCCCACCCACUUUUUUUCAUCCUGCAACACUCUGCACGAGGAUGGUAGUUUUAGGUUAAUCUAGAACUUUUAAGUUUCAAGUUAUUCAGUAGCAAGCAGCUUUGGAGGACAGUAAAAAUAAGGUCAACUUAUGCCUUGGAGGCUUGGAUUGGAGCAUUAGAAUUUGAGAUUGUUGAUAAAGCUUUUCUAAAGCAGCUCAAACUGUUCCGGAGUUAAUUUUUUCAACUUAGCUUUCAUUUUGUUAUUAAGAUUUGGUUGUAUUCAAUUUAAUUGUGAUUUGUAUUCUUAUGGAUUUUGUGGCAAUUUUGGUUAAAAGAACAGGGAAUGGUAAGAGACUUGGAAAGGGAGGAUUUCAUACAUGAAAGCUUUGGAAAUGUUAUCCCCUCAAGCAUAUUACUGAGAGCCAGAACCAGGUUGUGAUUACUGAUAGGAUCUGGGCCACAACUCCUUUCUUCAACCAACCAACCAAGCUUCUUGAACCCCAAAGAUGUUGAUGAAGUCCAAAAAGAGCAAGAGCCUCCAACUCAACUGCUAGACAGGGAAAAUUGUAAAGCUAGCAAGUACUGAAGACAUUCCUGGCAUGACAUGAAAACACAAGACUGUUUUAUUCAAAACCUUCUGUUAGAAUCAUAAGUAUUCAGAUCUUUGGUUGAUGCCCUACUAACCCAGAAUGUUGAUGGGAAUUCACAUUUUUGACUGCCAGUAUCAUCUGUGGAGCAUAAUUGUUUGUUGUUGUAUCAGAUGAAUUCAAUUCACCAUGCCCUACCGAAGAGAUUUCUGCUUAAAGUGUUCAUUUGGUAGAAGCAAAACUAGCAUAUCUGAAUGGGAUUAGCAGAGUCUAAUUAAGUUCCACCCUUGUACGAGUUUGUAAUUACUUGGGUCAUUGCAUAUUUUUGACGAGUGCUGCUACUGGCCAUUUGUUCUAUUGGAUAGUUUUGGGUGUUUAGCAGUAGAUAGUAGUUUGGAUGUUUAACAGGAGCUGCUAUGCCAUUUGUUUUGUUUCAUCUUUAUGCUUUCAUUUUAAAAUU
RNAcentral lists this long non-coding RNA (1271 nucleotides) under Rosa chinensis. RNAcentral describes it as "sRNA RchiOBHm_Chr7g0213091". The record is from RNAcentral. Lineage: Eukaryota; Viridiplantae; Streptophyta; Magnoliopsida; Rosales; Rosaceae.